AAUAAUAAUAAAAAGACAAACCAGCCCGUCUUCAAAGUAGUGACGUCACUACUUUUUGAAGACGGGCUGGUUGAAGAAAACCUGCACCAUUGAAAAUAAGAUGAAAAAUAAAUUACUUUCGUUUGCUUUGAUGGGAAAACAAGUUUGAAAAAAUCUGAAACACGUGAAAAAUUCUCCCUUCCGUUGACGAGCAGAAACCACAUCACCCCUCUGACUCAAUGUUGUGAACACAAAGGGCUGUGAGGUCAAGACAAAUAGAAGUAAUUGACCGAGACUGAGUGAAGAACUGAUGCCCUUCCUCCUCCACCUGCCGCCUUCAAAGGACGCCCUGUUUGAGGAUGGGCGGCUGAAUAGGCUUUGAAGGCCUUGGUUGCUUCAUGUUUCGUGCACUCGGAACCAAUUGUAUCUGUUAGAUCUAAUCCCACAUUCAUGUCUGGGUCUAAAACACGAGCUCAGACUCUGCUGCUCAUCAAUAACAGCUCUGACAUGCUGGAUACGGAGGUCCCUCCUCCAUAGCUGUGGUUUCACCUGGAAGCUCUGAGCUCGGAGAAGCUGCUGUUGUUCUCAUGUGAAGGCUGAAGAGUGCAGUGGUUUGCUCUGUUAGUGCAGACUCAAGUAUCUCAUCAUGCUUUGAGACUCUCAGUGACUUCCAAAAAAUAACAUGUGCACAGACACAGCGACCUUUUUGAAUGCGGGCCGGACUGGAAAUGGAAACCAAUCCUCAGUUUAGUGUAUGCAGUGCCGAUACUGUACACAUGCUCUUCACACUUGGCUGCGGUGAGUAAAGUGCCGAACGACACACAAACAAGCGGAGUGAGAGGAUGACAUCCGUGCAUGCUAAGUGAUGAAGAGAUGAGUGUGUGUGUGCCUGUGAGGAUGACGUAACCUCCAGUGAAAUAAUACUGUGUAUGUUUGAGACUCGUGCUGGUCUCCUCUUCCCCUCACUUAUUUAUAACGUGCACACGAGCAGGAUGUAUCUGUAAUUGUCUGUUUUGGGGUUUUUAUUUUUUAAAUGUUAUUUUUUCUAUGCUUUUUUCAGUUUCUAUAUGACCUCUUUUAUUCAAUAGGAGGUUCGCUUCACUGGAUUUGCACUCGCGUCCGAUCACGUGACGUGCAGCUCACUUCAGGUCAGGAUCUUUCCUCCAUAAAGCCACUUUCUUCAGGUGCAGCAGCUUGUGUUUCUGGAUGAUCUGGGGACCGUCUCUAAGACGUAGACACAUUUCUGCUGAGCGGUCAGGUUACGGAGCAGGGUCUAAAGAGCUUGGAGAGAAAAUCAUCUGGACUUCUUCAGUUCCUGGGUCAAAUAGUGAAGAGUCCCAGAUUUGGACCCCGUUGAUCUUCUACUUAAUCACAAAGCCAAGGUGUGAAAACGGGUGUGUGUCCCAAUCAGCCAAGUUUUGGGUGAUGGCUUCUUUCACUUCUCUUUUAAACCAUCUGCCUCGGGCUCCUGGUCUUAGCCGACAGGAGGAGCACCUGGUGUGGUCUUCUGCUGCUGCAACCCAUCUGCUCCAAGGUUCCACCUGUUGUGGCCGUGGUUAUACCGAGUAGAUAUUUGAGCUUGUUGCCUUCCUGUCAACUCAGAGUAGUCUGUCAUUCUGACCUCUGACCUCUGGCAUCAACGGAGAACUGCUGCUCAUGCAGUGUCUCACUCUGUGAACUUCAGAGGUCGUGGUGCCUAAACAUCCCAGCAGAUCCCUUUGUUCCUCAUUCUGAUGCUCUGUUUGACCUUCAGCAAGGCUUCUUUGCCAUAUCCCCUUGCCUGAAUGCUGCCAUGUGAUUGGCUGUUUUGACGUUUGUGUUAAUAAGCAGCUGAAUGUAACAAAACGAGUGAGUUUUGAAGGCCCUGCUUAUUUCAUGCUUCGUGCACUCUGAACCAGUUUUAUCUCAUAAAUCUAAUUCCACAUUCAUGUCUGUGCCAAUACUGUACACAUGCUCUUCACACUUGGCUGCGACUAAAGGGUCGUGGGAGAAGGCUGUGCCUGGUUCGUGAUGUAGUUGCUCCAGGACUGCAACGUGACACAGAGGUUCUACAACCUCGCUGUUAAACAGGAAACCAGAAGAAACCAGUUAGCGACCAGUUGGCUUGAGCGCUCUUUGGCAAAGAGACUCGUCACAAAUGAGUUCGCGUCUCACCCCAACCAGUCACAGCAGAUGGCUGCCCCUCCCUAAGCUUGGAGAUGCCGGAGGUGAGCGCUUGCUCACAGGUGUCAUGUGACUGUUGGGGUUUCUGUUUCCUCUGUAUAACUGUAUGGUCUCGACCUUACAGUAUAAAGCAGCUUGAGGCAACUGUUGUUGUGAUUUUCUGCUGUACAAAUAAAGUUGAAUUGAAAAUGUCCUUCACGACAUCCAUCAUCGUCUGAGGUUUUCCGCUUUUCCUCCUGCCUGCAGCUCCAUCUUCAUCUUCCUUUCUCCAAGAUAUCCUCUCUCCCUCCUCGGCAGAUGUCCAAACCCUCUCAGCCUCUCCCCUCUAACUCUGAGUCCCUCUGAUGGACUCGCAUCUAAUCUUCGCCAUCCUGCUCACUCCCAGAGAACAUCUAAACAUCUUCAGCUGUCUUUUUGUUAUUGCCAUCGUCUCCAAACCAUACACCAUAGCAUGCCUUCACUUCACAAAUGUGCUCUGACCCCCACUGCUGUCUGUGAUCCACAGUGCUCUGCGCUUCUCCAUCAACAUGAUGCUCGCUGACCACUUGUCUGUUGUUCCUGCAGCUUUCUCAUGUAAUAAAGACGUCAUUACAAAGCGGCACAAACGGGCUUCAUUCGUUAUAAACAUGUUGCAUAUCUCAAAAUGAAACCGCCGCUAUUCUCAGCUAUGCCUUCAUGCUACCUGUACGCGUUUUAGUGGCUGCUAACGCGUCACUGCGUGCUGUCUGAUGACGAUGAUUCGUCGUCUGUCUGAUGAAGACUUCGUGUGUCGGUGAGUCGCUGCGCGGCACAGACACUGCCGUCACUGACCU
Long non-coding RNA from Haplochromis burtoni (Burton's mouthbrooder), 2954 nucleotides. RefSeq lists it as uncharacterized. The record is from RefSeq and is a predicted model, not a curated record. The transcript has 3 exons. Lineage: Eukaryota; Metazoa; Chordata; Actinopteri; Cichliformes; Cichlidae.